This 404-nucleotide ribosomal RNA is filed under the name uncultured Eubacteriales bacterium. RNAcentral's name for it is "uncultured Clostridiales bacterium partial 16S ribosomal RNA". It matches the Rfam family "Bacterial small subunit ribosomal RNA", at positions 355 to 774 of the family's 1533-position model. The record is from RNAcentral. Lineage: Bacteria; Bacillati; Bacillota; Clostridia; Eubacteriales.
UAGGGAAUAUUGGGCAAUGGAGGAAACUCUGACCCAGCAACGCCGCGUGAAAGAUGAAGGUUUUCGGAUUGUAAAUUUCUGUAACGGAGGACGAACAAAUGACGGUACUCCGGAAGUAAGCCCCGGCUAACUAUGUGCCAGCAGCCGCGGUAAUACAUAGGGGGCAAGCGUUGUCCGGAAUGACUGGGUGUAAAGGGUGCGUAGGUGGUUAGAUAAGUUAGAAGUGAAAUCCCAAAGCUCAACUUUGGAGUUGCUUCUAAGACUGUCUGACUUGAGUGCAGGAGAGGAUAGUGGAAUUCCUAGUGUAGCGGUGGAAUGCGUAGAUAUUAGGAGGAACACCAGAGGCGAAGGCGGCUAUCUGGACUGCAACUGACACUGAGGCACGAAAGCGUGGGGAGCAAACA